GGUAGCAGGAAGUGCUUGCACUUUGCUGACGAGUGGCGGACGGGUGAGUAAUACUUAGGAACAUGCCUUUGUGUGGGGGAUAACCAUUGGAAACGAUGGCUAAUACCGCAUAAUGUCUUUGGACCAAAGAGGGCUUUCGGGCUCUCGCGCAAAGAGUGGCCUAAGUGAGAUUAGCUUGUUGGUGAGGUAAAGGCUCACCAAGGCGACGAUCUCUAGCUGUUCUGAGAGGAAGAUCAGCCACACUGGGACUGAGACACGGCCCAGACUCCUACGGGAGGCAGCAGUGGGGAAUAUUGCACAAUGGGGGCAACCCUGAUGCAGCCAUGCCGCGUGUGUGAAGAAGGCCUUCGGGUUGUAAAGCACUUUCAGUUGUGAGGAAAGGUUGGUGGUUAAUACCCAUCAGCUGUGACGUUAGCAACAGAAGAAGGACCGGCUAACUCCGUGCCAGCAGCCGCGGUAAUACGGAGGGUCCGAGCGUUAAUCGGAAUUACUGGGCGUAAAGCGCACGCAGGCGGUUUGUUAAGCUAGAUGUGAAAGCCCCGGGCUCAACCUGGGAAUAGCAUUUAGAACUGGCAGACUAGAGUCUUGGAGAGGGGAGUGGAAUUUCUGGUGUAGCGGUG
This 620-nucleotide ribosomal RNA is filed under the name uncultured bacterium. RNAcentral describes it as "bacterial SSU rRNA". It matches the Rfam family "Bacterial small subunit ribosomal RNA", at positions 68 to 683 of the family's 1533-position model. The record is from RNAcentral.